RNAcentral lists this ribosomal RNA (769 nucleotides) under uncultured Actinomycetes bacterium. RNAcentral describes it as "bacterial SSU rRNA". It matches the Rfam family "Bacterial small subunit ribosomal RNA", at positions 66 to 838 of the family's 1533-position model. The record is from RNAcentral. Lineage: Bacteria; Bacillati; Actinomycetota; Actinomycetes.
ACGGAAUCCUGGUGUAGCAAUACACCGGAAGAUUUAGUGGCGAACGGGUGAGGAUCACGUGAGAAACCUGCCCCAGACUUUGGGAUAACAGUUGGAAACGACUGCUAAUACCGAAUGACGUCGGAGAACCGCAUGGUUCACUGACGAAAGGAAAUCCGGUUUGGGAGGGUCUCGCGGCCUAUCAGCUUGUUGGUGGGGUAAUGGCCUACCAAGGCAACGACGGGUAGCUGGUCUGAGAGGAUGAUCAGCCACACUGGGACUGAGACACGGCCCAGACUCCUACGGGAGGCAGCAGUGGGGAAUCUUGCGCAAUGGGCGAAAGCCUGACGCAGCAACGCCGCGUGCGGGAUGAAGGCCUUCGGGUUGUAAACCGCUUUCAGCAGGAACGAAAAUGACAGUACCUGCAGAAGAAGGAGCGGCCAACUACGUGCCAGCAGCCGCGGUGACACGUAGGCUCCAAGCGUUGUCCGGAUUUAUUGGGCGUAAAGAGCUCGUAAGCGGUUUAGUAAGUCGGGUGUUAAAAACUCUGGGCUCAACCCGGAGACGCCCUCCGAUACUACUAUGACUUGGGUUCAGGAGGGGAGGGGGGAAUUCCUAAUGUACCGGUGAAAUGCGCCCAUAUUAUGAGGAACACCCGUGGCGAAAAGCCCCGCUCUGGACUGAAACUGACCCUUAAGAAGGAAAACAUGGGGUAGCAAACAAGAUUAAAAACCCUGGGGAUCCCUGCCCCUAAAAGGGGGGGACUAAGGGGGGGGUUCCAACCUACGGG